This 499-nucleotide ribosomal RNA is filed under the name uncultured bacterium. Its description in RNAcentral is "partial 16S ribosomal RNA". It matches the Rfam family "Bacterial small subunit ribosomal RNA", at positions 28 to 507 of the family's 1533-position model. The record is from RNAcentral.
GACGGACGCUGGCGGCGUGCUUAACACAUGCAAGUCGAACGGGCCCGCCCCUGUUUUUGGGGGUGGGUUGAGUGGCGAACGGGUGAGUAUCACGUGAGUAACCUGCCCCCUGCUCCUGGAUAACUGCUUGAAAGGGCGGCUAAUACGGGGUGUGCCGGCUGGUCCGCAUGGGCCUGGUCGGGAUAGUUUCAUCUUCGGGUGUUUCGGUGGGGGAUGGGCUCGCGGCCUAUCAGCUUGUUGGUGGGGUGAUGGCCCACCAGGGCGGUGACGGGUAGCCGGCCUGAGAGGGUGGGCGGCCACACUGGGACGGAGACACGGCCCAGACGCCUGCGGGAGGCAGCAGGGGGGGGUAUUGCACAAUGGGCGGAAGCCUGAUGCAGCGACGUCGCGUGAGGGAGGGAGGCCUUCGGGUUGGGAACCUCUUUCUCCGGGGGUGAAGGCCCUGUCCGUUGCGGCGGGGUUGACGGUAGCCGGGGAUGAAGCGCCGGCUAACUACGUG